AGGCGGAGACACGGGCAAUUGC
RNAcentral lists this microRNA (22 nucleotides) under Rattus norvegicus (Norway rat). RNAcentral's name for it is "rno-miR-25-5p". Its record names the gene rno-miR-25-5p. Lineage: Eukaryota; Metazoa; Chordata; Mammalia; Rodentia; Muridae. The record is from miRBase by way of RNAcentral.